CACGUAGGCGGAUUUGUAAGUCAGGGGUGAAAUUCCGGGGCUCAACCUCGGAACUGCCUUUGAUACUGCAAAUCUCGAGUCCGGAAGAGGUGAGUGGAAUUCCUAGUGUAGAGGUGAAAUUCGUAGAUAUUAGGAAGAACACCAGUGGCGAAGGCGGCUCACUGGUCCGGCACUGACGCUGAGGUGCGAAAGCGUGGGGAGCAAACA
Molecule: ribosomal RNA, 207 nt
Filed under: uncultured bacterium
Lineage: Bacteria
Description: partial 16S ribosomal RNA
Rfam family: Bacterial small subunit ribosomal RNA
Source: RNAcentral